This 243-nucleotide unclassified non-coding RNA is filed under the name plant metagenome. Its description in RNAcentral is "partial contains small subunit ribosomal RNA and internal transcribed spacer 1". The stretch from base 1 to 46 matches the Rfam family "Eukaryotic small subunit ribosomal RNA", at positions 1786 to 1831 of the family's 1831-position model. The record is from RNAcentral.
AAGUCGUAGCAAGGUUUCCGUAGGUGAACCUGCGGAAGGAUCAUUAAUGAAAUGCACCCUCGGGGGGUUGUGCUGGCGCUCCGGCGCAACGUGCACGCCCCCUCUGGCGUUCAGACCCCUUCACACCUGUGCACGAACCCGUCGGACGGGAGUGGUGCCUUGCGUGCCCUCCGGUCUGGCCCUUCACAUCAGCUUAUUAUUGUAUGUCGAAUGCAUCACUGCGCACGCGCAACCGAAAUACAA